Long non-coding RNA from Danaus plexippus (monarch butterfly), 1701 nucleotides. RefSeq lists it as uncharacterized. The transcript is spliced from 5 exons. The record is from RefSeq and is a predicted model, not a curated record. NCBI's taxonomy places the organism in Eukaryota, Metazoa, Arthropoda, Insecta, Lepidoptera, Nymphalidae.
AGCCGAGUCACCGUCCCUUUCCCACCAGUACACCAUCAGCCGACAGUCUCGCUGAGCCGGCGACAGUGGGGCGCGCCAAUGGGAUCCGCUCAGAUACACUCCACAAGAUCCAUCGAGAUCUCCACUUAGAGAUCAUUUGGUUCGAACUGCCGUCAUUUUAAAAUGAAGUCGUGAUGUAAGAAGAGACUAGCUACUCAAAAAAAAUAAAAAGACCAUAAAAUGGGAUACGUAAUAUUGAAGGAGAUAACAUCGGAAUUUUAACAAGGAGAUCAAUAUCCCGACUUAAAGCUAAUAAAAUGAGCCACGUCUAUCUGUAUACCAACAUCCGAAAGUACCUACAUCCAGUGCGAGAACAUUUCAAUUCCUAAGCAUGCGACCCAGUUUGGUUCGACCAAAACACAGUAGCGGUAGCGGUGGUCAACUUAGCGGGCGGGCCGAUCUAGCGAUCUCGGCUACCGUGGGCGUUGUACAACACGCCGAGCUACCACCGUGGCACCAUCAACCACAAAGGACCACAAGCGACCACAAUGAACCAUUGUUUGGACGUGGCAAAUUUGAUACUAGUAUUAGGCGUAUAUUGAAUAUGAUCUUUGGAUGAUGAACGAGACAGAAACUAGCCAUUGAUAAAAACUCUCACGCACUCUUUAUACUGAGUACUACACGUUACACCCAACGUGAACGUUUCACAGUCAUAAACUCGUACUAGGUGUCUUGAAAUUAAACAACUUCCUAUAAAAACUAUUUAUAUUGUGAACGAUAAUUAAAUGCAGCGGUACAAUGACUUAAAGUUUAGAUCAAACUAAGAAUAUAACACUGGCGGGAACGGUGUGACAGGCAUUACUUAUCUCCAAAUCAGGUAUUUAUACAAGUUUUCAGGUCGUCGGAGCGUUAUGGUUGAUCUAUUUCCGUUGCUUCGUUUAAAUAGAGCCGGCCAUAAUUCACGGGCUGCUAAUUUAUCAGGCAUGCAUAAAUUGUGCGCGAGAGUUGCAAUCGGACAACAUUUAGCUUUUUAUCGACUGUUUGAUUUAGUGUUGUACACUAAGCUAAUCCCUCAAGUCGAUAUGGCGCGUGCGCAGAGGGCUUAUUACGUUCCCAAAGUAUUUUGGUACGGAAAUAUUUGUAUCUAUUCUGUUGGAAUAAAUCUAUUAUUUUUAUAUACAUUAGUGAGGUCAAUGAAAAUUUUAUUAUAUAUUAAAUAAAAAUUCCUAUAUAAACAUUCGAUGUGUGCUGAAAUAUAUAUAUAUAAAUUAUAUCUUCGUCUAAACGAAUGUUCUUUGUGAAGCAGUGUCCACGUCUAGAGCAUAUUUUUUUUAUUUUAUAUAAUAAGGUCGUAUAUAUUAUUAUUGUCACCAGAAUAACGCCGUGCACACGGACGUAGGUGUUGCAGAAUACGUUAAAGUUAUUGCUCGCAUUGGGGACUCGUGUUUCUGGGUGUCUGUUUGUCCUUUAGGAUCGGCUAUUAAUCUUGCUAUGCGACUGUUUUUAAAAUAUUGACUCUGUUUUCUCGCCCGCUAGUGUGUAGCGAUCCUGGAUUUAUUGUUUUUGUAUAUAAAAAUAAAAUUAUUUAUGCUAUCAUGUGACGAUAGUAAUGAAAUAAUUCUCAUGGGUUCUUCUCAAUUCGUGUUGUGUUUUGUAAAUGAAGAGUAUUUCACAAAUUUAUAUUAUAUAUAUAUAUAUAAAAUGUCUUUUGAAGCAAUAAUA